Molecule: ribosomal RNA, 468 nt
Filed under: uncultured bacterium
Lineage: Bacteria
Description: partial 16S ribosomal RNA
Rfam family: Bacterial small subunit ribosomal RNA
Source: RNAcentral
GACGAACGCUGGCGGCGUGCUUAACACAUGCAAGUCGAACGGAAAGGCCCUGCUUUUGUGGGGUGCUCGAGUGGCGAACGGGUGAGUAACACGUGAGUAACCUGCCCUUGACUUUGGGAUAACUUCAGGAAACUGGGGCUAAUACCGGAUAGGAGCUCCUGCUGCAUGGUGGGGGUUGGAAAGUUUCGGCGGUUGGGGAUGGACUCGCGGCUUAUCAGCUUGUUGGUGGGGUAGUGGCUUACCAAGGCUUUGACGGGUAGCCGGCCUGAGAGGGUGACCGGCCACAUUGGGACUGAGAUACGGCCCAGACUCCUACGGGAGGCAGCAGUGGGGAAUAUUGCACAAUGGGCGGAAGCCUGAGGCAGCAACGCCGCGUGCGGGAUGACGGCCUUAGGGUUGUAAACCGCUUUCGCCUGUGACGAAGCGUGAGUGACGGUAAUGGGUAAAGAAGCACCGGCUAACUACGUG